Molecule: ribosomal RNA, 348 nt
Filed under: uncultured bacterium
Lineage: Bacteria
Description: partial 16S ribosomal RNA
Rfam family: Bacterial small subunit ribosomal RNA
Source: RNAcentral
CCUACGGGUGGCAGCAGUGAGGAAUAUUGGUCAAUGGGCGCGAGCCUGAACCAGCCAAGUAGCGUGAAGGAUGACUGCCCUACGGGUUGUAAACUUCUUUUAUAAAGGAAUAAAGUGAGGCACGUGUGCCUUUUUGUAUGUAGUUUAUGAAUAAGGAUCGGCUAACUCCGUGCCAGCAGCCGCGGUAAUACGGAGGAUCCGAUCGUUAUCCGGAUUUCUUGGGUUUAAAGGGAGCGUAGAUGGGUUGUUAAGUCAGUUGUGAAAGUUUGCGGCUCAACCGUAAAAUUGCAAUUGUUACUGGCAGCCUUGAGUACAGUUGAGGUAGGCGGAUUUCAUGGUGUAGCGGUG